This 551-nucleotide ribosomal RNA is filed under the name uncultured bacterium. RNAcentral's name for it is "bacterial SSU rRNA". It matches the Rfam family "Bacterial small subunit ribosomal RNA", at positions 567 to 1116 of the family's 1533-position model. The record is from RNAcentral.
GUUCGUAGGUGGUUACUUAAGUCUGGUGUUAAAGCCCGAAGCUCAACUUCGGCAUGGCAUUGGAAACUGGGUGACUAGAGUACGGUAGAGGUAUCGGGAAUUCCUGGUGUAGCGGUGAAAUGCGUAGAUAUCAGGAGGAACACCGGUGGCGAAAGCGCGAUACUGGGCCGUAACUGACGCUGAGGAACGAAAGCCAGGGGAGCGAAAGGGAUUAGAUACCCCUGUAGUCCUGGCCGUAAACGAUGGAUACUAGGUGUUGGAGGAUUCGACCCCUUCAGUGCCGUAGCUAACGCGAUAAGUAUCCCGCCUGGGGAGUACGACCGCAAGGUUGAAACUCAAAGGAAUUGACGGGGGCCCGCACAAGCGGUGGAACAUGUGGUUUAAUUCGAUGCAACGCGAAGAACCUUACCUGGGCUUGACAUCUUUGGAACCUUGCGGAAACGUGAGGGUGCCUUCGGGAGCCAAAAGACAGGUGGUGCACGGUUGUCGUCAGCUCGUGUCGUGAGAUGUUGGGUUAAGUCCCGCAACGAGCGCAACCCUCGUGGUCUGUU